This 363-nucleotide unclassified non-coding RNA is filed under the name uncultured Agaricales. RNAcentral's name for it is "sequence contains ITS1". The stretch from base 1 to 105 matches the Rfam family "5.8S ribosomal RNA", at positions 50 to 154 of the family's 154-position model. Lineage: Eukaryota; Fungi; Basidiomycota; Agaricomycetes; Agaricales. The record is from RNAcentral.
GAAAUGCGAUAAGUAAUGUGAAUUGCAGAAUUCAGUGAAUCAUCGAAUCUUUGAACGCACCUUGCGCCCUUUGGUAUUCCGAAGGGCAUGCCUGUUUGAGUGUCAUUAAAUUCUCAACCUUGCAAGCUUUUUUGCUAGCGAGGCUUGGAUGUGAGGGCUUUUGCUGGCUUCCUUCAGUUGGAUGGUCUGCUCCCUUUAAAUUCAUUAGUGGAUUCCUUUGUGGAUGGUCACUUGGUGUGAUAAUUAUCUACGCCGCCUGACUCUGAUACAAGACUUGUGGGGACCUGCUCAUAACCGUCUCUUCGAGACAAUCUAUAUUGACAAUUUGACCUCAAAUCAGGUAGGACUACCCGCUGAACUUAA